GUUCUUAUCUACGAUCGUUUAUUACUAACAUCUCAUUGAUGGACAAUAAAGUAUUCUUGGUCACUUACAAAAAUAUCAGUAGUGGACAUUACUUAGCAGUGUUCUUUGUCCCUUUGGGCAAGUUCAUUAUCAGCAACUUUGUCGUUAAUUAUAUCUUCAUUGCAAUAUUAGCUACUAUACGACUCAAACAAAUGUGAUAUUAUUAAUUUACUAUACGACCCAAAACGAAUUGUGAUAUUAUUUUAAUCGUUUGACCACCCACACAAGUAAUUAAUGCUUCACGUUGCUUGAUCACAAAAGAAGAGAGAAGUCGCGCGUGGAUUACACUCGCGGGUGAUUUCUCUCCCAACUCUUCUUCUUCUUCUGAGCACAAUCUCUUGUGUCGUUGAUGGGGUCUCUGUUAAUUCCGGCGACGAUGAGACCCCGUGGCUCAUGGUUCUUCAACCGUGAUCCGCUACAUCUUUUCGGUGAAGCUAUCCAUACAAAAUUAAGGGAGCAGUAGAGAGGAGCAGAUUCCGCGAGACAACGCCGGUAUGAACUCUAUCGGUGAAGUAGCGACGCAGUGUGGAAGAGAGUCUUCACGGCGACGAACGAGGGAAGACGACGGUUAGAUCUAGGGAUUGGAGAUUCUGGAAGAUUCAAGGGGUCGCCUCGUGAUGGGGGAGGUCGACUCCGGCCCAGUGAAGCUAAGCCACCGUCGAUGGUCCUUAGAUCUACUCCCUACUGCCUUCAACUCUCAUGAUUGAGCUUGGAGAUUCACGACAAAUGAUGGUCGGAUCUCUUCUUCCUCCUCAAAACUGCUCUACGGUGGCGGGAUGGCAACGGAUCGUGGAUCACUAUCUCCGUUCGGCACGCGUUGUCCAGGCUCACCGGAGGUUUUCUGUUCCGGCGAGUUUCUGCAGUUCUUGGACGGCGGCUCUAUCGUGUUCUACGAUUAGAGAUUAGGGUUUUUCUUUAGCUCCGGUUCAGAUCGGUUAAGUAAAACCUAGUCGGUUUUAUAAUAGAUGGUUUAAGUCGGUUAGAUGCUAGUGGAUCGGGUCCUAAAGAAAAAAUGUAUGGACCUAAAUCCGGAAAUAUCUCAAUGGACCUUUUAUUUAUAAAAUUUGCAUACCCUUUAACAAAAAAAAAAAAAAAUUGCUUGAUCACCAUGUCGUUUUCUUUAAUCCCAACUUGACUUUCUGGAAAGAUUAAAAAGCUUGAAGAUCCUCUCCUCCACUUGAAGAGCUGCAUCGACAAUGUAGAAGACAAACACACACGAUGUCUCUCUUGCUUUCUUUUUUUUCUUCACUUUCUUCACUUUCUUAUUUAUUUUUAUCUUUUUUUUUCCUUUUUGUGUCUUUUUAUUUCUCCCACCUGUUUUUCGUUAACAUAUAAAAUAAUUCAAAGAAAUCGAUACAUUAAAAAAUACUAUAUGACAAUCACUUAGCCAAUUUUCUAAUACCGAAAAUUCAAACUCGUUCUUACGAUUAUCUGUAAAAAUAUGCAUAAGAGUAAAGAUGUAACAAUUGUUGCAUGAUCGAAAUAUAAAGCUUAUAAGUUACUGUGAAACAGCGAACACCACUAUCUAAUAAUUAUUCAUUGUAGCCAAGAUAUAAAAAAUUUAGGCUUAUCAUGUUAUAUUCUUAGAUGUGUUGUUUAAUAUUUAUAACUGAUAUCAUUUAUAAUACAAGUCCCUGUGAUUAUUAGUUAUUUUAGGUUUGUCAACUAUAUGUUGGUUUUAUAUCCAUUAACAAUAAACAAAACAAAAACUAGAUUUGUUUUAAUUUGCAAAUGCAAGUGUUUAAAGUAUCUUUAAAACAGAAACUAAAAGUGUAAAGACAAUGAAUAAAAGCUCAAGGAAUAAGAAAGGAAAAAAUGUAAAGGAUGCAUGAUUUAUGUAAAAGUAAGCAAUUUUAAAAAUAGAAAGAAAGAAAUAUAACUAAAACAUGUGAUAUUAGAAAACUAUAAUAUUGUCAAAAGAAAAAUGUGGGCUCGGGGUAGAGGAUCAUUGUGAGCCGAUGAGACGAUGGAGUCACGGGGUUAAACCUUGGUUCUAUGGGGUCAAUGUAAGAGUUUUGUAGCCAUUUAUCUCUAUAGUUCAAUCAUCAAAGACUAGACGUGCAUAUAUAAAAUUAAUGUAAGAAAACAUUGAACCUAAUAGGAUUAAAAUUAACCGGGCCUUGUGGCCUAGUGGUAAAGGGGUCACAGCUGUGACUUCCGCCACCAGGGUUCGAGGCACGGCUACUGGCAGGUUUACAUAGGGGAAUUGCCAGCCUCGUGGGAUUAGUCAUUGGGCCUAGGAAGCCUUUGGGAGACCCGCGGUUAUUCAAAAAAAAAAAAAUAGGAUUAAAAUUAAUUUACUUAAAUUAUCUGUUAGAAAUAGAUUUAACUAUUUCAAAUGGAUGAUUAUCUUCUCUACACAGCUACUAAACUAGACGAUUUAACUGAUAUUACGUUAAGACCAAACAUAUAUACUGUUUAAUAUCUGACUUUGUUUUAGAAAACAAUCAAUAUAAAAAGACAAAUUAAUAAAAAAAACAAAGACCCAUAAACCUAACGCAAGGUCAUUAAUGAAUAACCAAGACAAAAAUAUCUCUAAUAUAAAUAUUAUCCACUACAAUGCAUUCUUCACUCUGCGACACACAACAACAAUGGAGCUACUCACAAGCUUGACCAACUGGUUAACUCCGACGACUCUCUUCCUCCUCCUCAACUUCACGAUCGGCACUAUCUUCAUCACCAACCGGUUCAGUUCCGGUUCAAGAAAACACAACCCGAAUCAAGAUGGUUUCGGGUCGGGUCAUGACCAAAAUCAUGCACGGUUUGGCAGACCUCCUUCGCUCAUAGACAGAGUCAAGUCCAUCAACUUCCAUCUCUACAAUUCUCCUUCACCAGAAUCCGAGAUCCACUUCUCCGGGUCGGAUCCUAACCAGAAUCCACCUCCUUCUCUCUUGCAACGGGUCAAAUCCAUCAACGUGCCUUACUUCAAGUUCCCACAACACAAUUCUGAAGGAGAUUACGCUGCUUACGAGCUCAUGACCCGACCCGAAGAGACUAACAGGGUCGACCCGAUCGAUAAGAUCCCGGAAGAUGACGUCAUGACCGAACCUAGAUUCGGAGCUCCAUCACUCUUGCAGCGGGUAAAAUCCAUAAAGCUUCCUUCUUUAUACAGAUCCGACCCAGAUCCAACCCCAGAAGAGCAAACACCGGCGAGGACGAAGUCGGAGUCGAGUAAACCGGCGACGAAGAAGAAGAAGAAAGCUACAAAGAAGAUGAUGAAAUCUGCUAGCGAGAGACACAUCGGCCGGGAAGAGGAGACAGUUGAGGCCGUGGAAAAGAGAAGGCCGGAGACUAUGAGAGUUGAAAGAACGACGUCGAUCGGAGACGGAGGAGAAGAAGGUGUCGACGAUAAAGCUUCAAAUUUCAUCAACAAGUUUAAGCAGCAACUUAAGCUACAGAGGCUAGAUUCGUUUCUAAGGUACAGAGAGAUGCUCAAGAACGACUAAGUGAAGAUUACGCUUUUACCCUUAUUCGGAAUUGUCUUUCCCCGGCUUUCCAGUUUGGAGUUUCGUGGUAAAUACUCCCUGAACCUGAAGGGCUUUUAAGUAAUUUUGGAUCAUAUUUUAUAGUUUGUGUCUAGAUUUGGUGAUGACUGGAUGACAAAACUAGUUUGUGUCGUGUGCGUAAUUGCUGGAUCUGGACGUAUGAGUUCCACUGCACUUUUUUGUUUUUACUCGAUGGUAAAAGUAAAUUUUAUGCUGUUUUUACGUGGAAAAAGUAUUCUAAAAUAAUCUUAUUUUCUUUAAAUCAAACAUUCAUCGAUAGUUGCGACAGAAGAAAAACAUUCAUCUAUAAUUAAUUCUCUCGUCAGAUUAGAAAAACUACAAAAUCUACUACUUUUUCCCAAUUUUUUUCAAAAUCUACCACAUUUCUUCUCUUCUUUCAACUCAUACCACAUUUAGAUAUAGAAUUACCAUUUUGUCCUCCCUAUUUAUCUUCCCUAUUAAUCUCUCUUCUCUAUUUAUCUUUCCUCUAUAUUUAUUUUCUUUCCCUAUUUAUCUCUCUUCUCUCGAAACACGUGCGCUUUAACCAAGAAACAUUAAAUCUCAUGAAACUAAACAAUUAAAUUUCGUUCUUGUCUCUAGAUCUUGUCCCCGAUUUCAUCAUCUUGCUCUAUUAUCAUCAUCUUGGACUUGUCCUCGAUCUAAUUCUAUUACCCAUUCGAUCUGAACUUGUCCUCGAUCUAAUUCUAUUCCAGUUGUCCCCGAGUAAAUCCAGAUCUCUGGCGGGCAAAACUACACCAUCUGGCGAUGGACAGUCAAGAGAAUUGGAUGAUAAAAAUCAUCAUGCUCAAUUUUUGAUCUAAUUAUAUUACUCAUUCGAUUUGACUUGUCUCCGAUCUAGUUCUAUUACCCAUUCUAUCUGAAUUUGUCUCUAAUCUAAUUCUAUUACUCAUUCGAUAUGAACUUGUCCCCGAUCUCAUUCUAUUACUCAUUCGAUCUGAACUUGUCCCCUCUUUUAUCUAAUAUAUUAAAAGAGCAAUUAAUGGUCUAACCCUACUCUAUUAUCAUUUUUAUUAAUUAAAUUCAAUUAUCUAGCAAAUGUAAAUGUGCAGCAUUUAUUGCAGACCUACUCCUUCUUUGGAAGCGCCGGACGAAACUGUCUCUGUCUCUGACACAGACUAUGUCCCUGACACAGACUCUGUCCCACUCAGGGGUAUUUUGGUCCACAAUUCCGCAUGUGCUAUUGGAAUGUGGUAGAUUUUGAAAACAUUUUGAGAAUAUGGUAGACUUUGAAUGCCACUUGUUGAAAUGUGGUAGAUUUUGCAAUAUUCCCCGUCAGAUUCUAGUUUCUUGAAGUUUUUUAAUACUAAUAUACUACUAAAUAGUUUGAUUAAGAACAAUAUUUGUUAAUGUCAACUGGAUUUAUUGGUCUAUCUGUUACUUUCUUAUGGCAUGGAGUUGUUAUCAGUCUACUAUUUUUAUUGAACCACUAAUGACAACGACGGUUCUCACUCUCAUGAAACGUGCUUAUGUCAACAUACAUUUUAUGAAGCUAUUAAUCAUCUGCCAAAAUAUCUUGUGAGUGGAUAAUUACAAGAAUAUUUGUACUAUUAGAUUGAAUUUAGAAGACGUAUUAGAAUUUAGAAGACGUUAGAUAUCAUGUAAUUAAGGAAAAAGACAUUGCUAUUUUUCAGUUUGUCAUUAUUCAUGAUUUUGUAUGAAUGAUAAAAAAAAAAAAAGUCUUCAGUUAUUAUCAUGAAGUUUGUUUAAUUUGAGAUAUGACUACAAUGUCUAAUCACGGUCGACGAAGAUAUUUUUCGUAUAGAUAUUUUUCAAGAGUAUGGGCAAAUAUGAAAUAUCUCAAAUUAGAAAGAGUGUUAUAUGAUUAUAAUAGUUGAAAACUUGAAAUGAUCCAUAUGUUUCAGUUGACAUGCCUCCUUUAUACCGAUUUGAUAAAGUUUGUAUGAACAUACACUAUAUGUGAAUGUUUUUUCUCAUAGCUUCACGACGAUACUAAAUCAUUCAUGCAUGACAUUUUAUGGUAUGUAACUUAGAUGGGUGGGUAAUCUAAUUUGCAAAAUUUUUGGUUCUUAAAGCCCGACACAGGAAGGUACUCAGGCACCGGUUCCCCACCAAUGCCUUUUUGUGUCGAAAAUCUUGGUUGAAACUUCAUUCAAUCGUGUGAAGGGAGUACUAUCAAAACCCUAACUUAAUGACAAAUAGAAAAGUGACAAGUGCUCUUUCAGGUCACUGUCUCUAAGAUUCAAAAUCAGUUGUACUUGAUGCUCCUUUGCAGCCCUAGAGAACCUAAAGGGUUUUGUCCUGUCCUAAGUUUUGAAGAAUGGUUCACGGUUCACGUGAAGGGAAUCUAAAAGUCACGUGAGUCUCACAUGGUUUGAGAGUCUCUUUUUGAGUUAGAGUGUCUUUUCUGUCUUCUAUAAAGGCAAUCGUCUCAUCGUUUGUCUUAUUCGGUUUUGUGGUGGAACAGAGGAACGGUGCGAUGAUGUUGUCAAUGACUGACCAACCUCGAAAAUCAUUGUAAGAGUUUAAGAUACAUUAUGCUAUUUAGAUUUGUUAAUCAUCUUAAACCUUUCUCUCAUUAACAGUCGAUCGUUAUUUACCACACUAAAACAAUCUCUUGAGUGAACAAGCCGAUCACAAAAACGUAUAUCAUUGGCUAAAAAUUUAUUAUAUUUGUUUGAAACGCACUAGGAGCUAGAAUACACAUGAUGCAAAGUGAAGAACAAAACUACACGACGUAGAUGAAAAACAGAGAAAAUAACAAAUAUGAAAACAGAUAAUAUGUACAUGUGGUAGUAACAACAAAACUUACAUAGGGUGGCCAAAAAUCUCAUAAUUUGAAGAGACAUCAUUUUUAGUUGCGGGAGUGAAAUGGGAUAUGAUUUACUAUUCCCUAAUCCCCAUUUCCGCAUGGUCGUUUCAAAAAGUCCCGUUUGUCCACUCUUAGGCGCCGGUGAGAGAGUUUUCUAUUAGACCUCAUCGCAGAGGUUGGUUUCGCUGUGGAAGGCUUUCCAAAUUCCUCCUUGUCCUCACUAAAGGUCUUCAUCAGCGUCUCUUGUAGUUCCACGUACCUUUGCUUCUUCUGUAACCGUUUCUCAGGAGUGUCUUCUUCUACGCUAGCAAGAUGAUUCAAGUCCUCGGUGUCCAUAAAGUGAUCAAGCGAACAACGUCUGAAGUAGCGUUUCCCCAGUUCCACUGAUGAUACAAAUUAAAGAAAUAAACAUCAUUUCUUUGUUGGUUAGAAAAGAGAUGACAUAUACGAAUCAAUCCAUACCGGUUUUACAAACUGCUCUUAGUCUACUCAAAUGCUUCUCAUGGAUUUGGAAAGGCGCCAUAUUUAGGUCCAGUGAUGUCCGCUUUUCACCAAUGCGAUGAUCAGGCUCGAGACUAGAAGCUGUAAACUCGCAUGUUUCGUCCAAUUUGGCAAUAUCCUGUACAAUUUCAGAUUCCACUGGAAAGAGAAGUCGAGCAAGUGCAACUGAACAGUAUAGAUCAUAGUUAUCAUUAGUUCCACUCAGUUUCCUAUCCGAAAUUCGAUUUUCAAGUGAAAGAAGAAACCAUACCUCGAUUUUCAUAAUAGAGCAACAUCAUCCGCAACUCCUCGGGAGUCACUGGAAGAGAAAGUGAAGCUUCUCUAGGCAACACAUAUUCUAGUUUUUGUUCAUGCUCAAGUACCUCUAUGCAUAAUCCGCCUUUCAGAGAAUGUGUGCCGUCCUCCAUACUAGUUUUGUAGUCAUCCGUUUUAGUUAGUCGUUUUGCAAUCACGAGAGCGGUUCUACCAUCCAAUAAUGUAUCUAAUACAUUUGCCCCUUUCAUUAACAAAGAUAUUAUCAGUUUUGGCUCCUUCCGCAUCGCAGCAACAUGAAGAACAGUGUAUCCCCUUGGAUUUCUAUGGUUAACAUCCGCAAGCUCAAGCUCAAGGAGAUCAUACGCGGUCUUCACAUCACAAUGCGCGAUAGCAAAAUGAAGAGCAUACGCCAUAUCAAGAUUGGUAUGUCCCUCUAGCAAAAGCAUCUUGACAAGCUCAACAUCAUCAGAGUCUAGUGCCUUAUAUAAGUUCUUGACAUGUAUUUGUAGUUCAGGUGGCUCUAGACCAAGCGCUUUGCGGAUACCAGUGAUUUGCUUGACAAAGUGUUGAGGCAAAGACUUCUCAAGACUAACUAGUUCUAUAUCAGACUUGACGAUAAUCUCUAUGCAUCUAUCCAAAAGCUUCUUGUAUGUUUGACCACAAAGAGUAUCAAGCUUGAAUAUAACCAAGAUGUCUUCGACCACAACUUUGUCUACAAUUUUCAAGAAUUGUCUCUGAAAUGCAUAAAGAAGAGACUUAAAAUGAAAUUGCUUUUUUUUGACUGAUGUUAUGAAUCAAUGAGAAUUUAGCAGAUCGUAUUUUUUUACCUCAUACAUAGUAACUAGUUCCGGAAUCUGGAAAACGAAAGCCAAAUAAAGAACCUCCACCAUGAAAUCCACCUUUGGCCGGCAAGCCACGUGGCAGCAAUCGUCGUCUACGCAAUCAGAAGCUCCCUUCGGCGGCGGCCUCACUCUGCCGCUGUAAACAAACGCCAAAACCGCCGCCACCGAAUCAAAGCCGACUUCGUAAUCUGUGGCGAUCUUCUUCAUCUCGAGCUUCACGGUGGUGGAUUUUUGUUCCUUCACGGUGGCUAACGCACUUUUGAAGACAGGAAUUCUCGCCGAGAGAAUACAACGAUGGAAAGAAACUUCCCGGCCGCCAGCGAGAACUAGCUUAGCGUCGCUGUAGAAAUUUUCCGGUGAAUCAAAAACAGACUCAAGGCAAUUUGACAAAAGCUGAAGCGCUGAUACCUCCGGUGGUGUGAGAAAUUCCGACGGGUAAUCAAUAGAUGACUCGGCGGCGAAGAAACUAUUACCGCUUGUGUUGCUAAAUUCGUAAGAUGAAUCAGAGAAUCUAGCGGUGGUGGUAGCCAUCAUCACAAAAAUUCGAGAUCGGCGGGAAACAGAGUCAGAGACUCAGAGGCUAACAGUGGAAUUUCAAGAAACAACGACCGAAUCGUCUCAUUACCAAAUAAAGAAACUUAUUAUCAACAACGGUCUUACUCAAGCACCUUUUGUAAAUUUCUUGGAAACUAGAAUGAAAGGCUUGUGUUUGUAAACGGAAUAUAAGUUAAAUAAAUACUCUGAAUGGUAAACCAAGCGGUUUUUUUGUUUUUUCCUCUCUCCUCAUUAUGAUGGGUCCCCUCUUUAGCAUGUCUCCAAUUUACUAUUUGGCUCUAAUCUUAUGGAUUAUGUGACUAGACCAAAUUGUUGUUGUUCAGAACCUCAGUUAUAAUAGAUAAUUAGUGUUGAACAAGCUGAGCCAUUGGUCAAAUUAAGCAUAUUAUACUCAUCCAUCAUAACUGAUGUUGACAGAUUUUGACUUGACUAAAAUAUGGUCAUAGUCCAAUUAUUCAUCUUUUUAGUCUUAAUUCACAACAAAAUAGUUAACAUUGAAUAUCGAAAGACAGUAAACAAAAGAAUAAUGAUCGUUCCCACUACCCAAUAGGAUCAAAUAAAAAUGGUUAAUGAAAUUGAAACCUCUCUUUCGUCGACAAAGUUUAGAAAGCUAAGGAAAAAAAAACAGCUAAACAAAAAUGCAUGUUUGUUUCUACAAUUUCAACUCCAUGUUAAAAACAUUUGUCCCUUCCCAAAGAACAAAACAAUGAAGUAGUGAUGGCGGAGACUGAGAAGGGGAUGGUGAUUCAUUGAUUCUUAAAUUAAACACGAAGGUUUACUAUUAAAGUGAUUUAGAAAAAAUAAACACACCGAUAGAAAAAUGAUCAAAACUCCUACGAGCAUCAUCAAUAUGGAGAUGAAUUUUACUUUAAAAAACCCAAAACUUUUUCUCAAUCGUCAUUCUUGAUGAACAGACACAUAUUUUUCACGCAGUCCUUGUUUGGUAGAGCGUAGAGAUUACUGUUGCUUGCAUUCGGGUGGCCUCUCACCUCGUUCACCAUCACCAACUAUCUGAGAUCUCCCUCCUUUCUGCACUCCAAGCGGAAAAAAGAAGCAGAUGAUUCUCACAUUUAUGAUUUAUCACAAACAUAGACACUGAUUGCUACUAUAGGAAUGAAAUGAGUUCACAAACAUAGACACUGAUUGCUACUAUAGGAAUGAAAUGAAUUCAUGAGAAUGAUUAUGCUCUCGUACUACCCAUGCCAUGAUUAAAGAUCUUGUUAAGUCUCUGCUGCGUCAUUCAUGUAUCCUUCUCAGAGUCUUAUACAUAACGACCUCGUUACUGACUCAUGCUUUUUAGGCUUGCUCGGUGACUUUCAGAAAUCUGUAUGAUUCAUGGGCUUCUAGAGCCUCUGGAUUUCCUAUAUUUAUUCUAAGGUUUCAUGACCAUGCUCAGCCUAAAACUUCUUUAGAAGUGAAAAGUGACGGAUACAUACCUUGUUUCUGAUUGAUGGCUGCAAAAAGAAAUUAAAACGAUUUCAUAGGAUUAGUAAGAACUAACGUGGCAGGAAGAAUUAAAAAACAAAUGAAACAACUAUACCUGGGGCACUUUAUACCUUCUUUUUGGUCUUGCUUUCUUCUUCAUCCUCCUCAUCCUCAUCAUCAUCAUCCUCCUCAUCAUCUUCGUCUUCCUCAUCCUCUUCAUCAUCCUCCUCAAUGUCAUCUUCCUCAUCGCCGUCUAUUUCAAAAUCCUCUGCUUCCAUAGCCUCACCAGUAAACCAUGAGACAGCACGAGGAAUAAUCUUGUCCCGAAUAGUAGAUCUGCAGAAAGCAAAAGGUGCUUGUGAUCAGAUAAUGAAAGGAUAACCACCUAGUUUGCAGUGAUAAAGUAGAUCCAUGACUUAAAAGCAAACCCAUAACUCAACAGAGAAAGUGUGUUAAGAAAAAGACGAACCCAAUGUCAUAAUCUUGUUCCAUCAGAUUUUGAAGAUCCUCAGCCUGCAAAAUCGGGGAAGAAUUACUAAAUACGUUAACUAAAUAUGAUGACAGGUUAUCCUAAAGACCGUUAUCUUACUCUUUCCUCGUCGAUAUCUUCAUCUUCAUCCGGAACUUCUGGAGGACUAAAGAAGUUGAAGAAGCUUUCACAGUCUUCGGUUUUAAUGAUUGGUUUAGCAUUCUUUGAACCUUUCUUAGGCUUCUUCUUAAGAAUCUUCUGAGUUAGACACUUUCCAGGAUACCAAUCAAUUUCUGUCCUGAAAAUGUAUGGAAAGAGUCAGAAUCCAUUUGCAAUUUAAGUGAAGCAAAAAAUUCUACAGCUCAAUGCAAUCAGCUAAGCAGAAUAUACUGAAAAGUAUACAACAAUUGCAAGAGAGCAUAAGCAGUUACCCCGUAGCCUUCUCAAGCAGUGGCUCAUCUUCAUCAAUCAUGUGAUAAGACUUUGUCAAGACAGUGUUCUUAAAAUACGGAUUCGUAUCAAAGAAAAACUCAAGUUUAAAUCCUUUAGGUUCUUCAAUCUUGCACCACUUAAUAUCUUUAAGAUAUUUGAGAGCCCCUUCAUCACGCUCUGUGACCUGAAAUAAAUGACAAUAAGCUAGGCCCAUUUUCCAUGGUUAUGAUUGGAGUGUUUAUAAAAUGAACACCAAAACCGCAUAUAGGAUACCUCCUCGGAAAUAACAUCAUUGUUUUUCAGGGCUGUCAGCCAGAAACUUGGAACUCCUUUCUCUGCAAUGAAAUGCAUAGAAACAUGUUAAAUUGUUUUUGUUUUUCCCAAAAGAUUAAAAACAAACAAAGAAGACAUUAUGUUCAUGUAGUUACCUUCUGCAGUUUUUUCCUCUCCUUGGUCCACCUUAAUAUCCUCUGCAGCCAGUUCAACUUCAGUAGUUCCGUUUACAAUCUCAUAACGCUGUCCAUUACAAGAUGCCAAGUAGAAUUCAUUAGGAAUUUUUAGAUGCAUAUAUAAGUAACACUGCUGCAGAUAAGUAAACAUAAGCAAAAAGAGUAGACACAGAUCUCCAUUGAUUUCAGUAAAAUGGUUUGUGAUUUAACAGAGGAAGUAACAGAAAAUAAAACUUUCUCACUAAAACAAUUACCUUGGUAUACAAAGGCUGAUACAACUUUUGAUACUUGGCUUCAAGAAUAGCUCUCUCUUCACGGAAUUUUGCCUCUAGUUCAUCAUGUUGGCUCUGAGCGAAAAGAAGCCAUCAGUAAUCACUUAAUCAAAACGCAAUUAACUUACUUUGAAACUAAGCAAGGAGAGAAAACUCUCACAAAACAAAACAAAUCCCCAUUAAACGAAGGAAAUUUCUCUAACCUGUAUAUCCCUCAAGGCAUCGACACGCUUUCUCACAAUAGGAGUCAGAUUCUCGAGCACAUCAGAACGCUGACCCGCCAGAUUCUGCAGCUUGUUCUGUGAAUUAACACAUAUUAACAAAUCUCCAAGGAAUCUAUAAAGUAUCAUUAGAUUGAAACCAAGACACCAAACCAAUGUACGCCUUAUUAUAGUGUCUAAACAACAAGAAAGAUACUCUAAUAGAGAAACUCCAGAAAAGUAACUCAAAAUCCUUCAAUAGCAAUGCUUUCGGGAAUUUUAUUUCCAGAAGGAAAAAUAAAAACUGACCUUUAGAGCAUUGACAAGGUCAGCUCGAUCCCCAUCUUUAAGAGCUGCAAACGAAAGAACAAGAGUAAGAAAGUAGUGAUAACAGAGCAAAUUAGGGCUUAAGAGGCGGAGAAAUAGAUAAGAGUAAUCGGAGUGGGGAAAUUUUAACCAGCAGUAAGAUCGGAGACGUUGAAGUUGUCCUUGUCGUUGCUCAUCUUCUGAGGAUUUGGUGAAGAAAGUGAGAGAUAAGAGAGAGAUUUGAAGGAGAAGAAGCAGAAGAGACGAGGGUUUUUGGGGAGGCGACUCUUAACCCUUAAAAUCCUCUUUCUUUUUUUCUUUUUUUCUCUCCCACCAAAAUUAUAAAACCUAGCAACUGCCAUUUUAGUUUUUUUUAAUCGUUUUAUACAAAAAAUAAUAUUAAAAAAUAUUUCUUGAUUAUCAAAAACUAAUUAGUGUUUUAUUAAAUUAAAUACAUUACAUGCAAGACUUUAUUUUUAGCUAUAUAAAAAUAAUCAGUUCUCAUUAUCCAAGGAUUUUGAACUUUAGGAAACCAAAAUAUAUAUGAAGGGUUUAUCAAAAAUAUAUAUAUAUAUAUAUAUAUGAAGUUCAAGUUGGUAAGCUACAUAUAAAUAAAGGUUUGUUACAUAUAAAAAAAAAAAAAAAAAACAAACACUUCCUAAACUGAAAAUACCGAAUUUAAAGCCCAACCUAUAAUCAUAGAAACUUAUUACACCUCUGCAAAUAAAUAACCAACUAAGAUUGAAAUUUAUUAGAAGAUGAGAUGCCAGAUAAACCACUUGACUUGAUUCUUACUGAACUUCAAUGGGAUCAGAUAGAAGAUUUCUAAAUCUUUUGUUACUAAGGUCCAUCCCAAGAAUGAGCCUUCCCAGCCCAAUACACUGAUUACUUCUUUUGUAUACACACACUAAUUAAAAACAAAAAAAAAAAACAGUCCAUAACAAAAAUGUCACAUCCCAAAGGCCCAGAGAUCUUAAGAUUGGUUUAGCUCAUCUCGAGUUCAAACGAGUCCGAGGCUGGUUUGCCACUAAUUGGAGAAAAUGAAUCCGGCAUGCCAUUUUGUGAUCUGAAUGCCACUGUAAAUGUGAUAUUCCCAAAUUACCCUUAAUGAAAUAAGAGACGAUUGGUACAACUAAGAGAUAAUAGUACAACUAGUACAAUUAAGAGAUAAUAGGAAAACUGAUACAAAUAGUAUAACUGAGAGAUAAUUGGACAACUGGUACAAAUGGUAUUACUAAAAGAUAAUAUUACAAUUGAUACAAUUGGUAUAACUGACAUAUAAAUAGGUACAACUGGUAUAAAUAGUUAGGUACAAUGGUACAAAUAGUUAGGUACAACUGGUACAAAUAAGUAGGUACAACUGAAACGAAACAAUUGUAAUUCUAAACCCUAGCGUCGUCACACUUACUAAUUCGCCUCUUCUUGCUUUCUUCAUCGUCGUCGUCGCCGAUUAUCCGCCGUCAACCUUCUUUGUCGAAGUUUGUGAACCGUUUUUCUCACCAAACGAUUGCGCACUUCAAAGGACGAAAGCACGAGGAGAUAUCCAUGGAGAAGAAACAUGAAGAAAGAUUCAAUCUAUGAAGAAACGCAAAAAGAUAUCUAUGGAGAAGAUAGAUCUAAAGUUUCAUUGAUGAUGAUGAUGAUGGAGAAGAAGAGAUAUAAAGUGAAAGAUCCAAAAAAAAUCUAGAAAAAAUAAAAGAAGAAGAAGAAGAAGAAGCGUGAAAGAAGAAGAGGAGUGAGUUAGAUUGGUGGCAGGGAUACGUAAUUAUCAAAUUAGGGUAAGAGUUUUUGGCCCUUUUCUAUUUAUUUGAUUUAAAUUCUUUUAUUUUUAUUAUUCUAAAAAAUUGGGUGGCUUUCCAGCCUUUUUGUUCCCAUAUAGUGGCAUUCUAGGCAUUGUUUCAAACGAAUUAAACGUACUCUAAUCUAAGUCCUAAGAUUAGCUCAUCACGACAAUCUCAAUUUGAAGUUUCAACCUCUUGUACGGUCUGACCAGAAACACAAUAAAGAAGCAUCAUGCGUAGACAAAUUUAAACUAAUCAGAUAACUGUAAGAAUAUUCAUUCAUCCGACUAAAAGCAAAAGAGAAAAACUUUUUUUACCUCCAGGACUCCCACUUAGAAGAAACAUUUUGUAUAGCUUUCAAGUCAUGCAUAGCAAACACACCUGGUAAGUGGCCAAUUUUUUUAUAUCCUGUAACCAUUAUAAGGAUAAAAUAAAGUUGUCCUAUGUAAAAGCAAUGAAAUGAAAUUCUCAAAAAACCUAAGUGGUUGUAAGCGUGCUUGCUCAAACUCUAAAGUAAACCGGAUAAUUCUAAAACCAGUUUUAGUUUAGUUGGAUGAUUCUGCUCAAACAGUAGUGUUUUUGUGGCUUUAAAGAUGCUUCAUCAUAUUGUUUUAUAGAUGUUUGACAUAUAUUUAUUUCUUACAUCUCGCCAAGAUUAUUAGAUUGUUUUAUAAGCUUUCGUGAAAUCUAACAAAUCUAUUUCAAACGAUUUCUACAAUGCAGUAAAGUCCAUCAAUUGGCUAAUAGAAUUCUAGUAAACUCACACGUUAACAACGUAUUAUUGUGUUUUUCGUUCCAAAAUUUGUUUUAAGUUAGUUAUUCACUCAAUUCAAAUAGUGGCGUCUGUGCAUUAAAAGAUGGUUUAUCGUAUCUAUUAGGUAGAUAUUUGAAUAAAUUUCAUUAAAAAGCGUUUAUAUUUGUUUGCUAAAUCAUUAGAUUGUUUUAUCUACUUUCGUGGGAUCUGAUCUAUCUAUUACUCCACUUCACACGAUUUCUAGAAUGAAAUGAAGAAAUGGAUGAUUUGGGGAGAGUUUGGUUAACCGAUUAGUAACCGAAGCAUAGAAACCAAACCGAACGACACAGCAACAAAACCGGAAUCAUGCAGAGGUGAAUAAUUUUUAAUUUUUUUUUUUUUACAUUACCCGCAACUGCAAGGAAAGAGGAACCCAAACUUUGAGAAAAACAUCCUCAUCGUUUUCUGUCCAUCGAAGCUCUUUCUUUCUUUUUUUUUCUUUAUCUUCGUAUUCAAUUCUUGAGAGGAGAGAGAGAGAGAGAGAGAGAGAGAAGCAUCCCAGAAAACGACAUUCUGUUCAAAUGGAGUUUCACCAGAUCGAGAGCAUGAGGAAGAUGAUUACUGGGUUUUGAUUCGUAUAUCCACCUCUAGUCGGCGUAAAAUCUGUUUUUUAUUCCGUAAUCUCAUUGUUCGUGAUCUCUGGGUUGUUUCUGGAUUGUUCCCGAAGGGUCGUUUUUGGGCCAUUCUUCCUUCCUUUUGAAUCUGAGAUUGUAAUUAGGGUUUCGUGUUUAUUGAUGGAACCUCGUGUGGGGAACAAGUUUCGGCUCGGACGAAAGAUCGGCAGUGGUUCGUUUGGGGAGAUCUAUCUCGGUUCGUCACUCUCUCAAUCUUUUAAUUCUAUGGAUUCUCGAAUUCGCCACAUUGGUGUAUUUCGCAUCUCUAACAUUCUUUGUGAUUUCUCAGGUACUAAUAUUCAUACGAAUGAAGAAGUGGCUAUUAAGCUUGUGAGUUCUUCUUUCUCAGUUUUUUCAGUCAUCCCUUUUUAAUAAUUUGAUGAUCCAUGUCGUAGAUGUUGCUAAUAAGUCUAUAUAGUAACAUUGUCACAACAUGUUUUGUUUGAUCAAGUCCACUAUGUUCAAAGCUGAAAUUUUGAUUCUCUUUGUUUUUGUUUUCCCAGGAAAGUGUGAAGACAAAACAUCCGCAGCUGCUCUAUGAAUCAAAGUUGUACAGGAUUCUACAAGGGGGAAGUAAUGAUUCUUAUCUUCUGAAAUCUUCAUGUCUGAUUAUGUAAAGUUUGUGAUUCUUACCACCCUUUCUUUUGCCUUAACUUUGGUAGCUGGUGUUCCAAAUGUCAAAUGGUUUGGUGUUGAAGGGGACUAUAAUGUUUUGGUCAUGGAUCUACUCGGACCAAGUCUUGAAGAUCUCUUCAAUUUUUGUAGCAGGAAACUUUCCUUGAAGUCAGUCCUCAUGCUUGCUGAUCAAAUGGUAUACUUCUUCAUGUGAUCCCUUUCUCUCAUUUGCUCGUCUAUGUUUCAGGAAAUAUUGACUUCUUUCUUCCUUUGGUUUUUGUGAUAAGAUCAAUCGUGUUGAGUAUUUUCAUUCAAAAUCUUUCCUUCACCGAGAUCUCAAGCCAGACAAUUUCCUAAUGGGCCUUGGAAGGCGUGCAAACCAGGUUUAUCAUCUUAUGUCCUAACUAUAUCCUUUUGGAGACAUCAUUGUACUGACUAAGUUUAAUCCUUCUCUAAGGUAUACAUCAUUGACUUUGGUCUUGCUAAGAAGUACAGGGAUAGUACAACACAUCAGCACAUUCCCUACAG
Molecule: long non-coding RNA, 16352 nt
Filed under: Arabidopsis lyrata
Lineage: Eukaryota; Viridiplantae; Streptophyta; Magnoliopsida; Brassicales; Brassicaceae
Description: long non-coding RNA (ALYR_LNC000816)
Source: RNAcentral